AUUACUUUGGCAGAUAAGUGUAUUAAAUUUAGAAUUUAAGCAUAUAUAUUAUAUUGUAUGUUUUAUC
RNAcentral lists this transfer RNA (67 nucleotides) under Polyrhachis dives. Its description in RNAcentral is "tRNA-Leu". Lineage: Eukaryota; Metazoa; Arthropoda; Insecta; Hymenoptera; Formicidae. The record is from RNAcentral.